Molecule: ribosomal RNA, 863 nt
Filed under: uncultured bacterium
Lineage: Bacteria
Description: bacterial SSU rRNA
Rfam family: Bacterial small subunit ribosomal RNA
Source: RNAcentral
GCAGUCGAACGGCAGCGCGGACUUCGGUCUGGCGGCGAGUGGCGAACGGGCUGAGUAAUACAUCGGAACGUACCCAGAAGUGGGGGAUAACGCAGCGAAAGUUGCGCUAAUACCGCAUACGUUCUACGGAAGAAAGUGGGGGAUCUUCGGACCUCAUGCUUUUGGAGCGGCCGAUGUCUGAUUAGCUAGUUGGUGGGGUAAAGGCUCACCAAGGCGACGAUCAGUAGCUGGUCUGAGAGGACGACCAGCCACACUGGAACUGAGACACGGUCCAGACUCCUACGGGAGGCAGCAGUGGGGAAUUUUGGACAAUGGGCGCAAGCCUGAUCCAGCAAUGCCGCGUGAGUGAAGAAGGCCUUCGGGUUGUAAAGCUCUUUUGUCAGGGAAGAAACGGCUCCGGCUAAUAUCUGGAGCUAAUGACGGUACCUGAAGAAUAAGCACCGGCUAACCACGUGCCAGCAGCCGCGGUAAUACGUAGGGUGCAAGCGUUAAUCGGAAUUACUGGGCGUAAAGCGUGCGCAGGCGGUUUUGUAAGUCUGUCGUGAAAGCCCCGGGCUCAACCUGGGAAUUGCGAUGGAGACUGCAAGGCUUGAAUCUGGCAGAGGGGGGUAGAAUUCCACGUGUAGCAGUGAAAUGCGUAGAGAUGUGGAGGAACACCGAUGGCGAAGGCAGCCCCCUGGGUCAAGAUUGACGCUCAUGCACGAAAGCGUGGGGAGCAAACAGGAUUAGAUACCCUGGUAGUCCACGCCCUAAACGAUGUCUACUAGUUGUCGGGUUUUUAAUUAACUUGGUAACGCAGCUAACGCGUGAAGUAGACCGCCUGGGGAGUACGGUCGCAAGAUUAAAACUCAAAGGAAUUGACG